This 423-nucleotide ribosomal RNA is filed under the name uncultured bacterium. RNAcentral's name for it is "bacterial SSU rRNA". It matches the Rfam family "Bacterial small subunit ribosomal RNA", at positions 356 to 772 of the family's 1533-position model. The record is from RNAcentral.
GGGGAAUCUUGCGCAAUGGGCGAAAGCCUGACGCAGCGACGCCGCGUGAGCGAUGAAGGCCUUCGGGUUGUAAAGCUCUGUGGGGAGGAAAGAAUAAGGUCCGGCUAAUACCCGGACUGAUGACGGUACCUCCUUAGCAAGCACCGGCUAACUCUGUGCCAGCAGCCGCGGUAAGACAGAGGGUGCAAACGUUGUUCGGAAUCACUGGGCGUAAAGCGCGUGUAGGCGGCAGGGUGUGUCGGAUGUGAAAUCCCAUGGCUCAACCAUGGAAGUGCACCCGAAACUACCCAGCUCGAGUCUCGGAGAGGAAAGUGGAAUGCUUGGUGUAGAGGUGAAAUUCGUAGAUAUCAAGCGGAACACCGGUGGCGAAGGCGGCCUUCUGGACGAUGACUGACGCUGAGACGCGAAAGCGUGGGGAGCAAA